Molecule: small RNA, 153 nt
Filed under: Microcebus murinus (gray mouse lemur)
Lineage: Eukaryota; Metazoa; Chordata; Mammalia; Primates; Cheirogaleidae
Description: TUC338 (ENSMICG00000038241.2)
Source: RNAcentral
UUGGAAAGUAAAUCAUCCAUUUAUCCACAAAGUAGAUAGAGCACUUGCAGUGACAAAGCUUGCUUCCCCUCCACUGACCUGCCAAAUAGUUUGAACUCUUCUCCAAAACACCACAUCUGGUGAGAUAAGAAUCUUAACCAUUAGGAAGCAAAU